CAGGUGGAGGAACAGGCAGCGAUUGUUAGGGCGACAGGUGGAGUCACAGGCAGCGAUUGUUAGGGUGACGGGCGGAUUCACAGGCAGCGAUUGUUAGGGCGACGGGCGGAGGAACUGGCAGCGACUGUUAGGGCGACAGGCGGAGGAACUGGCAGAGAAACACACACAAUGCUAGAGUACCCUGCACCGACACUCGGGUACGGGGCACAGUAACAGACGGCGGUGCUUGUAUAACAGGUGGAGGACCACCUAGCGAUGGUAGGGUACCCAGCAGGAACACAGCUGCAUGCGAGAGGAACAGGUCCCCUCCCAGCCCCUUUGCUGCUCCCCAGAGCUGUUUGCAUUCUCGCACGGACAGACUCCAGAGGGCAAAGGGAUUUGGAGCGGGAUGUCAUGGGGCUGAGCCCUGACCCCGGGCUCCUGGCCUGACGCACCCUACUGGCAGCGGGGAAGUGACUCCAGAUUGAUACCCACAGAAAUGAGAUCAGAAUCCGUCUCUGGGACCACUGGCUGCUGAGGCUGGGGAAGGGAGAGCCUAGCCCUGGGAGCCAGGACUCCUGGGUUCCAUCCCCAGCUCUGGGAAGGGAGCGCGGUCUAAUGGGUUAGAGCAGGGGCUGGGAACCAGGACUCAUGGGUUCUCCCCCAGCUCUGGAUGGGAAGUGGGGUCUGGUGGGUUAGAUCCAAGGGGGCUGGGAGCCAGGACUCCUGAAAUAGGUGGGUGAAGGGCAGGGGGGGUCUUCGCUCUCCGUUUCCAGCCGGGCCCCGGCCUUGCAACAGAUCUGCCCAGGCUCAGAACUCUUCUCUUGCUCUUUUUGUUUGGGGUUUUUUGGGGGUGGGGGAUUUUUUUGGCAGAAAAAAGAAAGAAAAAGACACAGAAAAAAAAUCAACGUCUUUUGUACAAAAAUACCUCCCCCCCAAUAAUUUCGGGGCUCGGGGGGGUGGGGAGGGCAUGAUACAGCGACAGGAUGGCCGGACAGAGCCUCCUGACAGCAGCCACUUCUGGAGGGACCCCAGGGGGACAGCCACUCUGUCGGCGGAGGGAGAGCAUUGGGAGGUGGGGGGCAGUGUGGGGGUUCGCUCAGAGCUUUGGUUCUUGUCCAGCUCCUCCCCCCCUUUUUUGGGGUGCUGGGGGGAAGAGGCCGUUCUCGUUUCUUUUCUUUUUGAUAUAAAAACCAACGGAAUGAAACAAACUGACCAAACGGUGUUUUCUUUGAGCCAGGGGCACGCAGGACCCGUCUUCCGGGGCAUCCGGACACCUGAGUUCUUACCCUGGCUCUGGGAGGAGAGUGGGGUCUGGUGGGUUAGAGCAGGGGGGCUGGGAGCCAGGACUCCUGGGUUCAGUCCCUGAUUCUUGCCGUCAGUCACUAUUGGCCAUUGUGGAACAAAUCUCUUCAUGCCUUUUCCCCCCGCGAGCUAGGUCAGGCGAGUGCAGUAUGAAUGCAGACCCCGAUUACUCCAGCCUCGGCCUCUCCCAGCCGGGGGGUGCUGGUGCACCCGGGGCAAAGUUUGGGCCAGGAAGUAGUUGGCUCCCCCGGCAUCUGAACCGAAACCUCCAUCUGUGCUUUGGUUUCCUGCCCGACCCUGCCCCCGAAAUUUCGAUU
Molecule: long non-coding RNA, 1601 nt
Organism: Dermochelys coriacea (leatherback sea turtle)
Lineage: Eukaryota; Metazoa; Chordata; Testudines; Dermochelyidae
Exons: 2
Source: RefSeq, a predicted model, not a curated record